RNAcentral lists this ribosomal RNA (497 nucleotides) under uncultured bacterium. Its description in RNAcentral is "partial 16S ribosomal RNA". It matches the Rfam family "Bacterial small subunit ribosomal RNA", at positions 28 to 507 of the family's 1533-position model. The record is from RNAcentral.
GACGAACGCUGGCGGCGUGCCUAAUACAUGCAAGUUGAGCGCUGAAGGUUGGUACUUGUACCAACUGGAUGAGCAGCGAACGGGUGAGUAACGCGUGGGGAAUCUGCCUUUGAGCGGGGGACAACAUUUGGAAACGAAUGCUAAUACCGCAUAAAAACUUUAAACACAAGUUUUAAGUUUGAAAGAUGCAAUUGCAUCACUCAAAGAUGAUCCCGCGUUGUAUUAGCUAGUUGGUGAGGUAAAGGCUCACCAAGGUGAUGUUACAUAGCCGACCUGAGAGGGUGGUCAGCCACAUUGAGACUGAGACACGGCCCAAACGCCUAGGGGAGGCGGCAGUAGGGCAACGGCAGGCAUGAGUGAAAAUCAGAGCACACAGCGCCGCGUGCGGAAAGAGGGAUGUCGGGUCGGAAAACACGGUUGGUGGAGAGGAAAGUUGGCGAGAGUGGAAAGCACAUCAAGUGACGGUAACUAGCCAGGAAGGAACGGCUAACUACGUG